RNAcentral lists this ribosomal RNA (463 nucleotides) under uncultured bacterium. RNAcentral's name for it is "bacterial SSU rRNA". It matches the Rfam family "Bacterial small subunit ribosomal RNA", at positions 331 to 792 of the family's 1533-position model. The record is from RNAcentral.
CCAGACUCCUACGGGAGGCAGCAGUGAGGAAUAUUGGUCAAUGGGCGGGAGCCUGAACCAGCCAAGCCGCGUGAGGGAAGACGGCCCUAUGGGUUGUAAACCUCUUUUGUCGGAGAACAAAACCCGGGACGUGUCCCGGACUGCGUGUAUCCGAAGAAAAAGCAUCGGCUAACUCCGUGCCAGCAGCCGCGGUAAUACGGAGGAUGCGAGCGUUAUCCGGAUUUAUUGGGUUUAAAGGGUGCGUAGGCGGUCCGUUAAGUCAGCGGUAAAAUUGCGGGGCUCAACCCCGUCGAGCCGUUGAAACUGGCAGACUUGAGUUGGCGAGAAGUACGCGGAAUGCGCGGUGUAGCGGUGAAAUGCAUAGAUAUCACGCAGAACUCCGAUUGCGAAGGCAGCGUACCGGCGCCCAACUGACGCUGAAGCACGAAGGCGUGGGUAUCGAACAGGAUUAGAUACCCUGGUA